ACGGGAGGCAGCAGUGGGGAAUAUUGGGCAAUGGGCGAAAGCCUGACCCAGCAACGCCGCGUGAAGGAAGAAGGCCUUCGGGUUGUAAACUUCUUUUACCAGGGACGAAGGACGUGACGGUACCUGGAGAAAAAGCAACGGCUAACUACGUGCCAGCAGCCGCGGUAAUACGUAUGGUGCAAGCGUUAUCCGGAUUUACUGGGUGUAAAGGGAGCGCAGACGGCAUGGCAAGCCAGAUGUGAAAGGCAGGGGCUCAACUCCUGGACUGCAUUUGGAACUGUCAAGCUAGAGUAUCGGAGAGGUAAGUGGAAUUCCUAGUGUAGCGGUGAAAUGCGUAGAUAUUAGGAGGAACACCAGUGGCGAAGGCGGCUUACUGGACGAUAACUGACGUUGAGGCUCGAAAGCGUGGGGAGCAAACAGGAUUAGAUACCCUGGUA
RNAcentral lists this ribosomal RNA (437 nucleotides) under uncultured Robinsoniella sp. RNAcentral's name for it is "partial 16S ribosomal RNA". It matches the Rfam family "Bacterial small subunit ribosomal RNA", at positions 341 to 792 of the family's 1533-position model. The record is from RNAcentral. Lineage: Bacteria; Bacillati; Bacillota; Clostridia; Lachnospirales; Lachnospiraceae.